AGCAACCACAAACCAGGUUGGCCUCGGAUCAGGUGGGUACACCCGCUGAACUUAAGCAUAC
RNAcentral lists this ribosomal RNA (61 nucleotides) under Parafusicladium amoenum. RNAcentral describes it as "Fusicladium amoenum partial 28S ribosomal RNA". The record is from RNAcentral. Lineage: Eukaryota; Fungi; Ascomycota; Dothideomycetes; Venturiales; Sympoventuriaceae.